Molecule: transfer RNA, 73 nt
Filed under: Bos taurus (domestic cattle)
Lineage: Eukaryota; Metazoa; Chordata; Mammalia; Artiodactyla; Bovidae
Also listed under: 5 other names
Rfam family: tRNA
About the family: Transfer RNA (tRNA) molecules are approximately 80 nucleotides in length. Their secondary structure includes four short double-helical elements and three loops (D, anti-codon, and T loops). Further hydrogen bonds mediate the characteristic L-shaped molecular structure. tRNAs have two regions of fundamental functional importance: the anti-codon, which is responsible for specific mRNA codon recognition, and the 3' end, to which the tRNAs corresponding amino acid is attached (by aminoacyl-tRNA synthetases). tRNAs cope with the degeneracy of the genetic code in two manners: having more than one tRNA (with a specific anti-codon) for a particular amino acid; and 'wobble' base-pairing, i.e. permitting non-standard base-pairing at the 3rd anti-codon position.
Source: Rfam by way of RNAcentral
UCCCUAGUGGUCCAGUGAUUAGGACACCAUGCUUUCACUGUGGAAGGCAUAGGUUCAAUCCCUUGUUGGGGAA